GAUGAACGCUGGCGGCGUGCCUAAUACAUGCAAGUCGAGCGAACAGACGAGGAGCUUGCUCCUCUGACGUUAGCGGCGGACGGGUGAGUCACACGUGGAUAACCUACCUAUAAGACUGGGAUAACUUCGGGAAACCGGAGCUAAUACCGGAGAAUAUAUUGAACCGCAUGGUGCAAUAGUGAAAGACGGUUUUGCUGUAACUUAUAGAUGGAUCCGCGCCGCAUUAGCUAGUUGGUAAGGUAAAGGCUUACCAAGGCAACGAUGCGUAGCCGACCUGAGAGGGUGAUAGGCCACAUGGGAACGGAAACGCGGUCCAGACUCCUACGGGAGGCAGCAGUAGGGUACGUUCCGCAAUGGGCGAGAGCCUUACGGAGCAACGCCGCGUGAGUGAUGAAGGUCUUCGGAGCGUAAAACUCUGUUAUUAGUGAAGAACAAAUUUGUAAGUAACCAUGCACGUCUUGACGGUACCUAAUCAGAAAGCCACGGCUAACUACGUG
RNAcentral lists this ribosomal RNA (497 nucleotides) under uncultured bacterium. RNAcentral describes it as "partial 16S ribosomal RNA". It matches the Rfam family "Bacterial small subunit ribosomal RNA", at positions 28 to 507 of the family's 1533-position model. The record is from RNAcentral.